Molecule: ribosomal RNA, 552 nt
Filed under: uncultured bacterium
Lineage: Bacteria
Description: bacterial SSU rRNA
Rfam family: Bacterial small subunit ribosomal RNA
Source: RNAcentral
UAGGGAAUCUUCGGCAAUGGGGGGCAACCCUGACCGAGCAACGCCGCGUGAGUGAAGAAGGUUUUUCGGAUCGUAAAGCUCUGUUGUAAGUCAAGAACGAGUGUGAGAGUGGAAAGUUCACACUGUGACGGUAGCUUACCAGAAAGGGACGGCUAACUACGUGCCAGCAGCCGCGGUAAUACGUAGGUCCCGAGCGUUGUCCGGAUUUAUUGGGCGUAAAGCGAGCGCAGGCGGUUAGAUAAGUCUGAAGUUAAAGGCUGUGGCUUAACCAUAGUACGCUUUGGAAACUGUUUAACUUGAGUGCAAGAGGGGAGAGUGGAAUUCCAUGUGUAGCGGUGAAAUGCGUAGAUAUAUGGAGGAACACCGGUGGCGAAAGCGGCUCUCUGGCUUGUAACUGACGCUGAGGCUCGAAAGCGUGGGGAGCAAACAGGAUUAGAUACCCUGGUAGUCCACGCCGUAAACGAUGAGUGCUAGGUGUUAGACCCUUUCCGGGGUUUAGUGCCGCAGCUAACGCAUUAAGCACUCCGCCUGGGGAGUACGACCGCAAGGUUG